CCUACGGGUGGCAGCAGUAGGGAAUCUUUCACAAUGGGCGAAAGCCUGAUGGAGCAACGCCGCGUGCAGGAUGAAGGCCUUCGGGUUGUAAACUGCUUUUAUAAGCGAGAAAUAUGAUGGUAACUUAUGAAUAAGGAUCGGCUAACUACGUGCCAGCAGCCGCGGUCAUACGUAGGAUCCGAGCAUUAUCCGGAGUGACUGGGUGUAAAGAGUUGCGUAGGUGGCAUAAUAAGUAGCUAGUGAAAUCUGGUGGCUCAACCAUUCAGACUAUUAGCUAAACUGUUAAGCUCGAGACCGUUAGGGGUAACUGGAAUUUCUAGUGUAGGAGUGAAAUCCGUAGAUAUUAGAAGGAACACCAAUAGCGUAGGCAGGUUGCUGGGACGGUUCUGACGCUGAUGCGCGAAAGCGUGGGGAGCAAACAGGAUUAGAUACCCCUGUAGUC
Molecule: ribosomal RNA, 442 nt
Filed under: uncultured bacterium
Lineage: Bacteria
Description: partial 16S ribosomal RNA
Rfam family: Bacterial small subunit ribosomal RNA
Source: RNAcentral